This 323-nucleotide ribosomal RNA is filed under the name uncultured Bacillota bacterium. Its description in RNAcentral is "bacterial SSU rRNA". It matches the Rfam family "Bacterial small subunit ribosomal RNA", at positions 28 to 337 of the family's 1533-position model. The record is from RNAcentral. Lineage: Bacteria; Bacillati; Bacillota.
GAUGAACGCUGGCGGCGUGCCUAACACAUGCAAGUCGAGCGAGAAGGUUAUGAUGGAUUCUUCGGAUGACAGAUUAAUUGGAAAGCGGCGGACGGUGAGUAACGCGUGGGUAACCUGCCCCAUACACAGGGAUAGCCAUUGGAACGAUGAUUAUACCUGAUAUACAUAUGAAUCGCAUGAUUUGAAUGUACAAGAUUUAUCGGUAUGGGAUGGACCCGCGUCUGAUUAGCUAGUUGGUAAGGUAAUGGCUUACCAAGGCGACGAUCAGUAGCCGACCUGAGAGGGUGAUCGGACCACACUGGAACUGAGACACGGUCCAGACU